CCAUCAACUGAUCAAUAAUAUUUUUACUCAACGAAAACUCUCUUAAAGGAACUUGCAUAUCUAAAAUACGGGCAAAGUCUUCUUCCUUGGCCAAGUUACACAACAACAUACAGCUCAAAUCAGCCAAUCCAUGCAAUGGGUUUGUCACAAUGCUAAAAAUGAGCUGCAGAAAUUCAUCAUCCAUCAACACUUUACGAACUUUCUCAUUUUGUGAGACAUUCACUAAAGCCGUAACAGCUUGACUUGCAAUCUGAGGCUUGUCCUUCAAUAGAGCCUUAAGGUCUUUCACCGGCUCAAAGUCAUUGUGGAACCAAAUACUAAAUUGAGGAUGAUUCCUAGCGGUGUACGGAAGCAAAUGCUGAACAGCUAACAUCCGUACCUGCGGAUUUUGAUCAU
Molecule: non-coding RNA, 396 nt
Organism: Schizosaccharomyces pombe (fission yeast)
Lineage: Eukaryota; Fungi; Ascomycota; Schizosaccharomycetes; Schizosaccharomycetales; Schizosaccharomycetaceae
Source: the annotation of a GenBank genome assembly